ACAACUCUUGAAUCUCCUACAUUUGCUACCAGAAUCCGAUCACCAAGCAUUACAGCAGUUGAUGCAGUAGAACCAGCAUCUCUUUGCUGUGGAUUUUCUCCACUUAGGUAAUCAGCAUCUGUCCUUCUAAAUGCUUCAACUGUAAUCAAGAAUCAAUAAAUAUCAUUCACUUAUUCACCAAUCAAAAUAACAUAUUAACAGUUUGACACAGACACUGUUCAUACCUAUGGCUGUCUUUGUGUCUUUCAUAAAACCUGGAUGACCACUUAAGUUCUUGAAAAGAUUGUUCUUAAGAUAUUCUGCUGUUCUUGAACCACCAUGACCUAUUUAGUAUAUACAUUGUAAGAUCAGAAGCAAGAAUUUUCAGAAAAGAUGAUUGACUAUACAAAGGUCUUGUUAUCUUGUAAUGGAAUUACUGACCAUCAAAAACACCAAAAAAGGCAACUGUUUGACCAUCAACUUCUGAUAUUGUUGUUUCAAAGUAAUCCUCCAUUGAUGCCCUUUUACCCUUGAAACUGGCAUACCCAUACUUAAAUCUUGCAGUUUUGCUUCCACUCACAAAGCUAGCAAGACAAAGAUAGAUUUAGUUUUUGAAAUCUUAUCUGAAUAGGGUACUAUCAUUAAAAAGGUUAACUUUAACUCUUCAAUUACUUAAACCAUCUGAGUAUCUCAAACAAUUGUGUAUAUCCGUGCAUAAUUUUUGUUGGUUUAACUUUAUUCUUUUUAGAUUAUCGUGCGCCUUGUGCCUUUUUAGUACUAGUAAAGGUAAAAGAACUGCCGAAUUGUUAAUGAUAAGGAUAUUGACUAUCGAUUGUAUACUAAAAAAGGAGUUUUAUUUACUCCCCUCAUCCAAACCUAGUUCAACCUGUUAAAAAAUACAAAAAAUUGCAUUAAGGUUUGCAAUUUAUUUUAAACAUCAUAAUGUUUCAAUCGGAAACAUGCUUUAUGCUUCAUUUAGUUAUACAAAUUUUCGUUUAUGAUCAAAUAGAUUCUCCUCAAUGCUCAAAAUUCAAAAAAAUUGACUUCAAAAAAUCGUAAGCAAGAGGAUAAAAGGUUAAUGAAAUGAAAGCUGAAAUAUUAGGUCCGUUUUGUACCUGAUUCCACCACCACUAUCCAAGGCAUCAGGGUCCUUAGAGGGAACCGCAAUGGCGGAUUGGUGUUGUUGUUCCUUUUCAUGUUUCGGUUCAGACAAAGGUUCUGGCUUUUGAGCGGUAAUAGGUGGCGGAUUCCCCGGUUUAACGUCGUCGGAAUCGUCUGUAAGGCGAGGAGGUCGGCGGUACUGUGGAGGAGCGGCGGUGGCGGUGGCGGUGGUGGAAUCUUUGACGUCCAUGAUCAGUAGCAAUUCAUUCAAAGGUGGAAUUUUGGGGGAUGAUCUGUCGUUGCUUCUGUUCUAUUCAAACAUUGUUUGUAUCAAUUCAUCUUUUUCCAUGGUUUUCAGUGCUUUCGGUUCGUUGUUAUAUGGCGGAUGACGCUACCCAAUUUUGGUAAUUUUUGUUCUCUUGCGAUUUACACCCUGUACUUUCUCUCCUCUAAUCACUUUGCCUCUUCUAACUUUUUAACUUUUUUUUUUUUAGCUGAAAACUAAAAAUAUAAUUUUAGUUAGUUAAAAAUCAAAAGCUUUUAAAUAUAUAAAAUUUUCUAAAAAAACAUUUUUAUAAAAACUAAAAUUGAAACAUAAUAAUAAUAGCUGUCUAGAUUAUAAUUUAUAAAAUUUAUAAAUACUUCAUAAAUUCAUUCUAUCUAUGGAUACAUCAACAUACACAACAAUAUUGAUCAGUAAACCAAUAUAUCGUUUCGCAUCUAUGGAUACAUCAACGUGCACAUAAAUAGUGAUCACUAAACCAACAUAUCUUUUUGCAAUGUUUUUAUUUUUGUUUUAUUUUAUUAAAAAACAUAAAAUGAAACAACCUUAUCGAUGAAAUAUGCUUAUGUUUUUCCUAAGGGAAAUCUCCAAUAAAGUCUUAAAAUUAUGGUCUGGUUUAUAUUUUAGUCAUAAACUAACUUUUGUUUACAAAAAAGUCCCAAAAACCGGUAAAAGUUUACAUUUUGACCAUUUUUGACUGGUUGGAACCGAUAACAAAUUAAUUUGGGACUAUUUCAUAAAUUUACCAAAAAUAUUGGGACUUUUCUGCAAAAAAAAAUAUUAGGGUUUUUCUACAAACAAAAACAUUAUUAUUAUUAUUAUUAUUAUUAUUAUAUUAAAGAUAUAAAUAAGUAUACUAUUUUUUAAAUUUGUUAUUAUUAAUAUUGUUAAUAAUAUUAAAGACAUUUUAUAAGGGUGAAGGUUGAGCGAGUGGUAAUGUUUUAAGCUUUGAAAUCAUGAAUGUCUGUUUGUAUAUUCUAACUUUGUAUAUGGUUAUUUCAUAUUUGUUAUUAUUGUUUUUAAUUCAAAAUAUUAACAUUUAACAAUUUAAAAAAAGCUACUGAUUUUUUUAAAUUGUUUACAAAUAGUGAGCGUGUGAUAUGCGUGUUGUCUUGUAUGUAAGUAUUUGAAUUACCAACAUGUGUGUUGCUCUUUUUCAUUACUUUAUCCUUGUGGUUUUUUUGAAAACAUAGUAGAUAUAGUAUGAUAAAACAAAACAAGUCAUAUUACUUUCUAUUAAACAAGAUAUUUUAAUUAAUAUUUUCGAAUUUUGAUAUGAACCACCAAUGUAAAUAUUUAUCGUGGAUGUGUUGGAUUUGACAAUAAAUCAUUCUACCUUAAGAAGUUUUAUAUACAAAGUGAGAAAUCCUUUUAUCUUAAACUAUUUAUACACAAUUUUACAAAUAGGCAACUUCUUUUAAAUUGUUAAGUGUUAAUAUUUUGAAUUGAAAACAAUAAUAAGAAAUAUGAAAUGAUCAUAUACAAAGUGAGGACAUACAAGCAAAUAUUCAUGAUUUCAAUGUUUAAAGUAUUACCAUCACCACCACCUUCACCUUUAGAUAAUUUCUUUAAUAAAUUUUUUAUUUAAGUGUAUUUAUAUGUAUUAUUAAAAAUAUUAAUAAUAAUGAAUUUAAAAAUUAGUAUACUUGUUUAUAUUUUUAAUAUAAUAAUAAUAAUAAUAAUAGUAAUAAUAAUAAGGUUUUUGUUUGCAGAAAAGUCAUAAUAUUUUUUUUGCAGAAAAGUCCCAAUAUUUUAGGUCAUUUUGUGAAAUAGUCCCAAUAUUUUGAGUCAGUUUAUGAAAUAGUCCCAAAUUAAUUUGUUGCCGGUUCCAACCGGUCAAAAAUGGUCAAAAUGCAUACUUUUGCUGGUUUUUAGGACUUUUUCGUAAACAAAAAUUAGUUUAGGACUAAGACGUAAACCAGACCAAAAUUUUAGGACUUCUUUGGAGAUUUCCCUUUUCCUAAAACAUGAAUAUAAAAAAUAAUAACAUGUAAAAGUGAAAAAAAAAAACUAAACAUCGAUGAGUUUAACGUGAUCAAAAAACCUAUGAAAGAGAAAAAACAAGAAAACAUGGAGAGAUAAUAUUUUUUAGGGAUAAUUUAGUCAUUUUGUUAAUGUAUAUAAGAAAUUUAUGUUGAACGUUACUUGAAGUAAAUUUUGGAUUCAUAAUUUUUUUUUUAAACCAAAAGCUUUAAACUCGGAAUGAAUGAUGGAGUUUUUCAUUUUUUGCGAGUUUUUUUUAGAUACUAAAAGUUAAAAACAAAUAUUUGAUCAUUAAAGUUUUGGCUUUGUGCUUAUUUGGUCAUUAAUACAUUUUAAGUUUUAAAAUGUGAUUGAACUUGUUAAUUUUUGUCAAAUGAUUAUUAUGACCGACAAAAACAAGUUUCCAUACUUUUUUGGUUAACUAAAAUCAUUAAUGCUUUUAUGAUUGUUCAUUAAACUCUUGAUUUUGUGUGAGUUAAAUUCGUUUUUACAACUUUAUAUUUUAUUUUAUUUUUAUGUGGUUUUUCAUCAUUCGAUGUUUUUUUUCACAAACUAUUUUUACAACUUCAUUUUUUACUUUGUUUUUCAUGCUUUUUUCAAUUUGUUUUCAUUGUUGGAUUAUGUGUCUAUGUAACAUCUCGAAAUUCAUGUACACCUAUUUAACCCUUCUCAUUUGUCAAGUUUUCAAGAUUAGCCCUUGAGUGGGAAAGUGUUGCAAAUGAGUACGCUGGGCGUACCGGAGAGUACGCUGUGCGUACUCAUGCGCUUAAGUUGGAUGCGGACUCGCCUAGGUACGCUGGGCGUACCCAAGGUUACGUUGGGCGUAGGGGGCCCAGAUGCAAACCCUAAUUUAAGGCUUGUGUACUAUAAAAGGAAUGCUAAGGCCUUAUCCUCAGCCUCCAUUUCAGAGAGUGAAACCCUAAGAGAGCAUUUCCUUCGUCCUAAAGCUUGUGUGUGAGUAUUUUGAGCUAAAGGUGCCUUUGUGUGUUAGUGAAGAAGGAGGAGAGGAGCUUGUGGAGGCUAGAGUUUGAAGUUCAAGCUUGGAUCUGAGUUCUCCAGAGGAAGGAGCUUCACUUUGAGGUAAAAAGCUCAGAACUUUCCUCUUUAUUUUGGUUUGGUGUUUUAUGGUCCAUUUCUAGGGUUUAAGUCCCAAAGGUGGAGACUUUAUGAGCAAGAGGGGCUCCAUGGACCUAGAUCUGUCCCAUUUCAGUGUUAUGAGUGAUGUAGAUCCAUAAAAAUCCCAUCUUGGUCGUUGUUAUGGAGUCAUGCUUGAGUUAUGAGCUUUAGAGUGUUGAAAGUGGAGAGAUUUGGGUGUUGGUGACUCUCACAGCCAUGCAAAGGCUUAAAGCCACCAACUUUAUGGUUAAGAGGCUUAGGGGUGGUCAGAUUUGAAAGUUGGUCGUGGGUCUUAACCGUUUAAGACCCCAAAAGCUAAGGAGUCUAAAACUGGGAGUUACGCGGGGGGUAAUCCCAGUACGCGCAGCAUAAGGGGUCGCGUUCCCCGUUUCUGUGAGGUGACCGGAUACGCCCAGCGUAACUCGGAGAGUUGACUUUUGGUUGACUUUUAGGGUUUGGUCAAUGUUAGGGUCUUUGAGCCUGGAGAGGGGUAAAAUGGUCUUUUACCCUUUUGAGAGUGCUAAGAGGGGGAUCUAGUCUAGCCUUGAGGGUUGUAUUGAUUAAAGUGUUUAUUCCAUGUGAUUAGGCGGAGGCUAGACCAGAUUUUACCGAGUUCGAGAUUACCGAGUUACCCGAGGUGAGUCUUCUCACUAUAUUGUACCUAGAAGGGUACCUAUGUGUGACCGGAAGGUCUUAUAUGCUAUGAGAUGUAUGUGCUAUAUGCUGAUAUGUGAUAUGUAUGUGUUAUGUAUGCUAUGUAUGAUAAGGACGGGAAGGUCAAGAUGAUAUGGACCGGAAGGUCAAAAGGACAUGGUCCGGAAG
RNAcentral lists this long non-coding RNA (5284 nucleotides) under Lactuca sativa (garden lettuce). RNAcentral describes it as "long non-coding RNA (LSAT_LNC000048)". The record is from RNAcentral. Lineage: Eukaryota; Viridiplantae; Streptophyta; Magnoliopsida; Asterales; Asteraceae.